Molecule: non-coding RNA, 3162 nt
Organism: Salvia hispanica
Lineage: Eukaryota; Viridiplantae; Streptophyta; Magnoliopsida; Lamiales; Lamiaceae
Source: RefSeq, a predicted model, not a curated record
GGGAACUUUUCCGCCGCUGCUUUUAACUCCGGUGGAUAAAUCAAGUUCCCGCCUUGCAUCAACUGAAUCGGAGACCGAAGUGAAUGCCGUAUAUGACUACGGAUUGGAUUUGAUUGGAUUGAUUUUUCACGGAUCCAUUCUUUAAUUGGUCUAUCUACGGCAGAUUUGCAUUUCUGAAAGGGAAAGAGGUGUAUUUCGUCCUUUGCUUUGCUUGUUGCUAUCCCGCGAAAUCAGAGUUUAAAAAGGCAUCUUUGGUGAAAAUCCAAGUGGUAAUUCCAUGAUUCUUGUUUGUUUCAAUGUUCACAUGGUCAGUGGGAAAAUGGUGAGUCUUAUUUUGCACAUCUCUUCUUUGAUCAAUGGUGUUCACAACUGUCGUCUGUUGACAUUUAAUGCUUAGUGUUUCACAUUAUAAAUGAUGAGUGUUCUUAGCCAUUGGUUUCUCAUUGCACAUGUGUUUUUAGACUAUAUUUUGCUGUUAGCAUAGCUGCAAUAGUUGUUGGAUUAGUCAUUAUGUUUUUGUUUUUUGUUAGUUCAGUUAAGUUUUAACAUAGCAGUGACCAUCAGUUUGAAGAGGCCUCUUCUAUGGGUAUGGAUUUGAGGAAGAGAAUCUUUUAAGAAAUGUGCAUUAUUUUCGGUGAUUAAAGGCCAUUUUCUUUUCCCUUCUCAGCAGCUCAUACAAGGUGUAUAUGUAGCCAAUUGAGAAAGGUUGCAUAAUAUGUCACUCAGCUAACACAAUUUUGUUUCAUUCUUGUGUGAAUAUUGUGGCCCUUUGUGUUGGUUGCUCACAUGGUAGAUGUCUACAUCUGAUAUUGAGCAUUCUAAAUCAGAGUUUCAUGCCAUCUUUUGGUGGUAAUUGUACAUUUGGUUUUUUGCUAGUACUUGCUUGUGUUGUUAUUGUCCUUGGAUCCUUUCUACCAUCUCCCAUUAUAUGUUUUAUGUUUUUUGAAUGGAAUGGAAAUGCAAUGUGAUGGAUUAUUUGUAUGUAAAUGUAAAUACAUGAAUGUUUGACAUUUUUUUUUCUUUUUCCUAAAUACAUGAAUUUUGCGAUUUUCUGAUUUUUCCUCAACAAAAAUUUGAUCAGAUGAUUAGAGUUGUUUUGUGGAUUGCUCUAGUUUAGCUUUGUUAUCAAUUUUAUUCUAUUAACUUUGUUGCUUCCUCUUGAAUGAAUUACAAACUUUAUGAAAUAUUAUGCAUUAUUUGUGAUUUUUAUCUUUCAAAUUUCAUAUGGUUUUGUAGUUUUAUGAUUCAUUGUAGCAGAAUUACAAUUUGUGGAUACGGCUAUCUCACAUGAUUUGAUUUGAACACGGCUCAAACUGAAAAUUCAUCUCGCUAUUGAAGAUACAUGUGAUGUGUUGAUGUGUUAUGACUUACAAUUAUUCCAUCCGAGAAAACAAGAUAAACUCAAAGUUCGAGAAAAAACUAGAAAAUCUCAAAACGUGUGUAAUUAUUGACAUUACCUUGUUCUAUUAAAAACGAUGUUGUUUUAACUUAUUGUCCGACAAUGUCGAUGAACACCGUAGAUUCAACUAUGGAAAAACAAAAAUUCAUGUAUUUAGUUUAAAAAAUCGGGCAAAAACGAGACAAAUAUUUAGUAAAAAUCAUUACUUUUUGUGGGUGUUGAGUUUCCGUUUGCACGUGCCAUCCGUUCAGUCAAGCUCUCGUCUUGCAAAUUUUCAACCAAAAAGAGAUCGGAAAGCUGCGAGAGUUGAAGAUUUGAAGGCUGCUCUAUUGAUCAACUAUGUUCCCACAGGACCUUCUCGCCUAGUAUCCACCAUGUAAGCAUUUGAUGGCAUUGUUUGGUUUAAAAGACAAGAUUUGAUCGGACUAGUUUUCUGUGUAUAAAAUGAUCAAUAGCCUAUUUGUAAUCUUUGGUGAAAUGAUUUAUUUGCUUGACUGUCACAUUAGUUUUUAUGUAAUAUUCUUCUUCGGUUUUUUGCAGUUUCAGUUUAGAAUUAAGUUUUGAUGUUUCUAAACUAGGGUCUUGAAGAUUAGAAAAAAAUUACACUUUGAAUGAUACUACAGGGUUGUCGUAUAGCUGAGCGCACGCUUUAGUUGUUACGCGCUCACGGAUAUUGGAUCAAUGGUGGAUAUAGAGUGUAUGGAGUAUGGACCGUGCUAUUAAUUAUCUCUGUUUGGUUUAGGCAUGCAUGACUAUAUCCAUACCUUAGCAUACAUGCAUGCAACGCAUAAGUAGUUGAUGAUUCAAAUAAGCCAUGCUAGAUCAAUAAAUGGUGCAUGCUACAUCUUAACUACUAAGCUGAGGUGGCGGUGACGUGGACAAGGCGCGAGCAUGUGAGAGUAAAGCUGAGGUGGCGUGAGCAGGCGAUGGCACGUGAAGAAUGGAGCUGACGUGGAGAAGAAGCGCGAAGAGUGUGAAGGAGCAGAGUAUAAAAGGAAGCUCGGCCAUUCAUGUUGCGGUUGUUGAUGUUAUGUUGUGAUUGUAGCUGUGCUUAGAUCGUGGAUCUAGGCCAUCCUCUCUAUAUUUUCCUACGCUUUGUUGUUGUUUUCAUUCGGAUUACGAUCUAUACAAUUCCUCUUCUUGUGAUCAUUAAUAGUGUUGCAUAUUCUCGUUUGAUUCAUUGAAGUGUUGGUGGAUUUGUGUGUUACGAGCUAAGAUUGGGAAGUCACGUAGUAAGAUCGUAGCACAUGGUUUUGUAUUUCUUGCAGUGCAGAGCAAGAAGGCAUAAAAGCAGAUCCGAUUGAAAUCAGUCGGUUUAUUGGUUUUGUCAAGAGAAACAAACUUCAGACGGAAACCUUCUUCAUCCUUGGCAUAUCUUGUCACCUCGACUCACGAGAGCUGGUUCUGCGCGAGAUGCUUGAACUCUUCGAAGCAUGGAAGUGGAGGCGCUAUAGUGAUGCAGACAUUAACCAAAGAUUUUAGUCAUUGAAUAGACAUUUAUGCAAUUUCAGACUGAUUAAUGUGUCCUCCGUAUGAUCUACAUCUCAGAUAUGAUGGCUCGAUUGGAGCAGCGUCGCGUGCAAUGGUGGCCGUGGGCCCGUGGAUCAAAUUGCAGAGCAACUAGAUUUCAUUGAAGGAUCUUUUGUGGAAUAGAACAUCUUGUAGUAUGAAACAAUUUGGUUGUCAUAUAAAAUUAUGGUAUCUUAUUUAUGAGGUAAAAUCUUUAGCAGAUUGAAACACAUUCCUGAUUUGUUGAUAUUUAU